Molecule: non-coding RNA, 45 nt
Filed under: Echinostoma caproni
Lineage: Eukaryota; Metazoa; Platyhelminthes; Trematoda; Plagiorchiida; Echinostomatidae
Source: RNAcentral
GCACCGCUGACGAGUCCCUAACAGGACGAAGCAGCUGUCCAGUGC